RNAcentral lists this unclassified non-coding RNA (307 nucleotides) under plant metagenome. RNAcentral describes it as "partial contains 5.8S ribosomal RNA, internal transcribed spacer 2, and large subunit ribosomal RNA". The stretch from base 1 to 105 matches the Rfam family "5.8S ribosomal RNA", at positions 50 to 154 of the family's 154-position model. The record is from RNAcentral.
GAAAUGCGAUAAGUAGUGUGAAUUGCAGAAUUCAGUGAAUCAUCGAAUCUUUGAACGCACAUUGCGCCCUUUGGUAUUCCAAAGGGCAUGCCUGUUCGAGCGUCAUUUGUACCCUCAAGCUUUGCUUGGUGUUGGGCGUCUUGUCUCUAGCUUUGCUGGAGACUCGCCUUAAAGUAAUUGGCAGCCGGCCUACUGGUUUCGGAGCGCAGCACAAGUCGCACUCUCUAUCAGCAAAGGUCUAGCAUCCAUUAAGCCUUUUUUCAACUUUUGACCUCGGAUCAGGUUGGGAUACCCGCUGAACUUAAGC